AUCGAAACUCCCAUUGGUGAAUGUAUAUAACAUUAUUUUUUGACUCUAGAUUGGACAAGAAACAACCUUAAUGUUCUAUCACUUGCGCAUUUAGGGCUCCCCUACUUCCUACGUUGAAGUCGUAGACCCUACUUAAUGGGAUUUGAGGAAGUAAUGGUGGAGUCUCUAAAUACUCAUCUAAGUUCUUGUGCUCAGCUAUGCUCAUGUUCUCAAUCAAACGGUCAAUGUUUUGAUCGAUGACCUUUUGAUUAGUCUUCAAUUAACUCUUUUUUAAGGCCUAAUAUGUUGAAGUUGUUCCACAUCAGUUGUGAAAUGGGCUGUUGGUCAAUUUAUAGAUGUGAGAGAAAACAUUACGUUUUGAGCUAACUUUUGGAGUUGAGAAAACCCAAUAAUACCCAACACUAAUAUCAAAGCAUAGGUUGUCAACAAGUCUUAGGCUCAAUACUCACGGGAGAUGCGGGCUUGUGUGAAGGGGAGAUGGGUUUGGUCUCACCCAUGGCUCAUUGUGUGAGGGGAAGACAGAUUUGGUAUCCCGCAGACCCAAUGUGUUAGGGAGAGACAAGUUUAGUUUCCCGCAAGGCCUAAUAUAUGAGGGGAAAAUUGUUGAGGUUGUCCAACAUCGAUUGUGAAAGGAGUUGGUGGUCAGUUAAUAAGUAUGAGAGAAAGCCCCACCUCUUAAGUUAACUUUUGGAAUUGAGUAGGCCCAAUACCACCCAACAAUAGUAUUAGAGCCCAGGUUAUCAAUAGGUUUCGCGCAGGGCCUAAUGUGUGAGGAGGAAACGGAUUUUGUUUCCCGCAAAGGCCUGAUGUGCGAGGAGGAGGUCGUUAAGGUCGUCCCACAUCGAUUAUGGAAUGGAUUGGUGGUCAGUUUAUAGGUGUGAGAGAAAAUUUUACCUCCUGAGCUACGUUUUGACCUUGAGAAGACCCAAUAUCACCCAACAUGAUAAACCUCACGAACACACUUGUAUAAACACUUGGUUUUGUACUAGAAAAAUGUGAAAGUUGUAAUUUGAAUUUUGAUGGUUUUCAAUCCGAAUUUUAAUUUCUCUUAUUUAUUUGUUGUCGAGAAUCAUGUGUACAAAUUAACAACUUCUUCCUUUUAUUUUUCCUUUUUUGAUUCUCAUUAUUUUCAAAAUAC
RNAcentral lists this long non-coding RNA (1138 nucleotides) under Olea europaea subsp. europaea. The record is from RNAcentral. Lineage: Eukaryota; Viridiplantae; Streptophyta; Magnoliopsida; Lamiales; Oleaceae.